RNAcentral lists this long non-coding RNA (451 nucleotides) under Lactuca sativa (garden lettuce). RNAcentral describes it as "long non-coding RNA (LSAT_LNC003140)". The record is from RNAcentral. Lineage: Eukaryota; Viridiplantae; Streptophyta; Magnoliopsida; Asterales; Asteraceae.
ACUAGAAAAUAUUUUCAUAACAUACCCUCAAAACCACACAAAAAUAUUCCUAAUCGAUUAAUUGUUCCAUAGAUUCACCCAAUAUUGACAAUAAAAACUAACUACACAUAAUAAUGAUGACAAUAAAAAGGAUAACAAUUAUACCAAUACCGAUUACGAAAUGAAGAUGACAAAACUUUUUGAAAUCGUCACUCCUUCUUGCUCCAAAAACUCUAUCAAUAAUCAAAGUAUUAAUACAAAAAUUAACCUAGUCUAAUCUAAAGAAAAUAACUAAUUACAACACAAUAAAAUCAUGACAUAAAUAUCAAUGAUAAUAUUGUUUGAUUUCCAAAAAUAAGAAAGCAAAAGAAAGGAGGAGAUACCAAAGGCGCCGUCACUCCCUCCUACUCUACUGCCGGCGAAAAAAUGAAUUGUGAUGCUUCUUCUUUUCUUUGUGCCCUUCAUUUGCUGC